UCUAAGAGUGGUAGAAAUUGUUUAAAAUUAAACAUCUUCUUUUUAUAACAAUUUAUUCAUUGGUAAUGAGCAACGAAUCAUUUGGGGAUAAAUCAAAUCUUCCCUUCAGUUACAAUAAAUCUUUAACGUCUUAAACGUUUUAAAUUAGCAAAGCGAUGUACUUAACAGAAUGAUGACAUGGAUGAUGACAUGGAAUUGAUUAUUUGCAAUGUUUUUUGAGCGUUGCUUUUACAAUUCACUUCAAAUUUAACUGAUAAAGUUUCGCUCAAUUCAAAGUAAGUUAAGGUGAGCUGUACAAUAUUGUCGUCAGCUUAAAAACUGUCAAGUGGAACGGAUAUGGAACUAAAUAAAAUUAAGCCAGAACUAAUCUUUUCAUUGUUAAGGUAUAAAAUUUCGAUUCUACUUAGCAUAUUCAUGAGUCGAAUUUGUUCUUUUUACGCUCUUAAAAAUGAAGUUUUUUGCUAUUUUUGUGAUAUUUGUGGUUCUCAUGAUAACUUCCUUGGUUCAAUCUAAGUACAAUGCGGCAUGUGGUGCACUUUCUCGAACAAAAUCAGAAAAGUGCCUUGACAGAGCACCCAGAUGGUCAUACAGUCCUCUGUUGAGAAAGUGUAUUAGACUCCUUCAGCCCACCUGUAAUAAUAAGGCCUCAGACAAUAGCUAUCUGAAUGAAGAGAUAUGUAAAGCCAUGUGUAACUUAGUGAAAUAAUACCUAGUAAUCAACACUAUUGUUAACGAUUCAAAAAGAGUCCUAAUAAAGUUACACCAGUUGACCAGUAA
Drosophila willistoni is the source of this 777-nucleotide long non-coding RNA. RefSeq lists it as uncharacterized. The transcript is spliced from 2 exons. Lineage: Eukaryota; Metazoa; Arthropoda; Insecta; Diptera; Drosophilidae. The record is from RefSeq and is a predicted model, not a curated record.